AGCAGCAGCCAUAUCACUCUGCAACUCACAACUGGCAACCCACUGAAGCUAAGCAGGCGUGAGCCUGGUCAGUACCUGGAUGGGAGACCUCCUGGGAAAAACUAAGGUUGCUGCUGGAA
Ribosomal RNA from Lepisosteus oculatus (spotted gar), 119 nucleotides. NCBI's taxonomy places the organism in Eukaryota, Metazoa, Chordata, Actinopteri, Semionotiformes, Lepisosteidae. The record is from Ensembl.